AGAGUUUGAUCAUGGCUCAGAACGAACGCUGGCGGCAGGCCUAACACAUGCAAGUCGAACGAAAAGCCACCUUCGGGUGGUGGACAGUGGCAGACGGGUGAGUAACGCGUGGGAACGUGCCUUUCGGUUCGGGAUAACCCAGGGAAACUUGGGCUAAUACCGGAUACGCCCUCCGGGGGAAAGAUUCAUUGCCGAAAGAUCGGCCCGCGUCGGAUUAGCUAGUUGGUGGGGUAAAAGCCUACCAAGGCGACGAUCCGUAGCUGGUCUGAGAGGAUGACCAGCCACACUGGGACUGAGACACGGCCCAGACUCCUACGGGAGGCAGCAGUGGGGAAUAUUGGACAAUGGGCGCAAGCCUGAUCCAGCCAUGCCGCGUGGGUGAAGAAGGCCCUAGGGUUGUAAACCCCUUUCAGCGGGGAAGAUAAUGACGGUACCCGCAGAAGAGC
RNAcentral lists this ribosomal RNA (446 nucleotides) under uncultured Prosthecomicrobium sp. Its description in RNAcentral is "bacterial SSU rRNA". It matches the Rfam family "Bacterial small subunit ribosomal RNA", at positions 8 to 490 of the family's 1533-position model. Lineage: Bacteria; Pseudomonadati; Pseudomonadota; Alphaproteobacteria; Hyphomicrobiales; Kaistiaceae. The record is from RNAcentral.